GGCCAGCAGCCGCUGGCGGCCGCGCUCCGCCUCGGACUCGAGCGCGUCGAAGACAGCGGCGCCCACCAGCAGAAAGCCUGGUCUGAGAGAUUCUGCCCAGAGACUACACUUCCCAGCCUCCUUUGCGUCCUAGCACGACCACGUGACUCGUCCCCACCAAUGGGGUGAGAGUGGGAGUGGGCGUGGUGAGUGUCAUCUCCAGGCGGGGCCUUUAGGGAGAAGGUGAGGGGCUCCGUCCCUGCCUGCGAGCUGGCUGCAGGAGGCCCUCAGGCCCAGGAGCUCCGCGGAGCCACAACCUGUAAGCCUCCUGGCUCACCGCAGGAAGGAACUCCAGCCAGAAACCACCUGCCUUGGAACAUCGUAAAGGGGUAUGCCCCUUGUCCUGAGAGAUUCUGCCGGUAGAGAUUUGGGGUUCCUGCCAGAAGUGACCAUGUGCCCCUCGUACUGCCUACACGCAGGGAAAACCACUCCAUGCCCCGUCCUUGCGAGGACCACUGGUUUUAAAAACAACGAAAGUGAUUACGUAAAGGGCACGCACAGGAAGCCAGCUCUGUGAUCGAGGGGAACGUGCUAGUGUGAAGUGUACAUCUCGACAACUCUUCACAUACGUGCACACCCAUGUCACCAGCACCCAGAGCAAGAUACGUUUCCAGAAGGUUCCUCAUGCCCCUUCCAGGUACUCACUCUUCUGACAUCUGUCACCAUUGAUCAGUUUUUCCUGGAACCACUUCUCCAUCUGAGGCAAGAAGGAAGACAGGAGAAUUUUGGUGUGGGGAGGAGCUGGCCAGAGGCACACUGCUCACGGCGGCAUCGGAGGGAGAGCCUCUGCCGACAGCCCGGAGGUCACUGAUUUGCUCCCAGAAGGUUUUCUGUUCUGCGCAGCUGAACCUUACUUGGGCCCUCAGAUACCGAGCUGCUCCAGGUCUUCCGCGAGGUCACCUCCCUCAGGAAGGUCCACAGGACGGGCCCAGUGAACGGCCACGGCUUGCCCAGUCUGGGCUCCUGCCCCGGAGCACGAGGCUCCAUCUCGCCAAGACUGGCCACCUCCACGCUGUCCUUGCUGAUGGCCGCGUUGGGAGAAGCUGCUGGAGUGACGGCCUGUGCCUGUGGCACUGGUCUGCAAAUACCCAGCCCCCCAGGGCCUCCGCACAGCCUCUUCUUCCACACAUCGCCCAGGCUGGGCAGGAGUUUGGGGGUCUGCUCCUGACCCUGAGAUCCCAGGUGCUGUGAUGAGCUCCUUCUCCCACCACUAGGACAGCUGUGGGCCUUGAACAGUUUAACACUUGCCUUCCGUCUGUGCUGGCAAGGUUCUGCCUGCAGGGACCGACAUGGUCCUCCCCCAAAGGGGGUUUGAAAUGUGGAGCUCUCAGCACAUGCAUGUGAUCGCCUCUGCACACGGCUUCCCAUAGUACGGCGCACUGGGGGGCCUGGCAACGAGCUGGUCCUCACUUGCUGGGUGAGGGGGCUGGCCCAGGGGCUGUGCCAAGGGUGCAGCUGGUGAAGCAUUGAUAAGCCUGCUGGGGAGCGGGGAGGAAGUCACAAUGGGGCAUGGAGAGGGCUUUGGAAAUUGGCACGAGGGUUUAUUGACAGACUUGGUAUGCCGAGGAGAAGGCGCUGAACCUGGCACACAUUAGGUGCUAGACAUGUCUUUGGUGCAUGCGUGCAUGCAUGCAUGAAUGAACUGGGGGCCCAAAGCUCUAAUCCCAGCUCUAUAGCUGUACAUUCUUGUGCAAGUUCCUUGGCCUCGUUUGGCCUCAGUUUCCUCAUCUGUUAAAUGGGAGAGGGGCAACUCCAUAUUUUCUAGGACCUCUUGGCUCUAGGAAUCUGUUUCUAUGCCCAGAAGCAUGGAGUGGCAGCUCUGACCCAGGGGGAAGCAUGGAGGGAGGGCUCUCAGGAAUACAGAGUUCCAGAACGUCAGGAGGUACAGGUGGUUCCUAUAGAUUCAUUGAUGUCCGACUAAUUACCAGAGUUCAGAAGACCCCACAGAGUUGGACUGAGUGUCAGGGCAGAGGUAGCUUUGCUCUUGGCCAGACGUCUCUUGGAGGAGGCAGAUAAUGAGUUAGGUUACUCCCUCCCCAUCCAAGAGCCCCUCCAUCAGUGGGGAUAUCCAGUCUCUAGGGACUUACCGCUCACUGUCUGAGUGCCUACAGGUGCCAUUACCUGUCCGUGUCCAUACCCAAUCCAUCCAUCCAUCCAUCUUUUCAUCAAUCCAUCUAUCUGUUCAUCCAUUGAUCCAUUUGUCCAUUCAUCCAUU
Long non-coding RNA from Ailuropoda melanoleuca (giant panda), 2254 nucleotides. RefSeq lists it as uncharacterized. The record is from RefSeq and is a predicted model, not a curated record. The transcript has 6 exons. NCBI's taxonomy places the organism in Eukaryota, Metazoa, Chordata, Mammalia, Carnivora, Ursidae.